GCGUAGGUCUGUCUGCCUGCUGCUUGUGCAGGCGUGUACAGGCAGGGGGAAAAGGAGGAGAGGAGAAUAAAGAAGGAAAGGAAAGGAAAGGAAAGGAAAGGAAAGGAAAGGAAAGGAAAGGAAAGGAAAGGAAAGGAAAGGAAAGGAAAGGAAAGGAAAGGAAAGGAAAGGAAAGGAAAAAGAGGGAAAAGGAAAAAGAGGGAAAAGAAAAAGGAAAAAUCACUAGCCUGAGUCGUGUGAAUCCAAACUUGCCACUGAUUCAAGUGAGGGCAGAGCCGCUUUCCGAAAAGUAGGCAGGAGUAUGCUUAAUAUGGGAUCGACUUUGUUCUUAAUGAAAUCUAAACUGGUUUCACUGUGUUAGUACCCUCAGGAAGAGCAAAGCUAACUCAGUGGUGUACUGCGACCAUAAUCCACAGAAUCCGUCCAGCUCGGCUGUCCUUCGUUUCUGGAGCGGAGAGCAGGCUGUUUACUUUGUGAGGAACGGCAGCAGCUGAACUUCGAACCUCCCAGGAGGGGGAGCAGGGGAGCCUUCCCUGCCGGCCUUGCACCCACGCGUGGCUGGGAAGAGGCUGCUGUGAUGCUGCCUGAGCACGAGGAGGAUCAGGGCGUGGUCCCAUAGUGCUGACAGGAUUCCUUGGCUGGGGACACUGCUCAUUUUGCCUGCUGGUCUGAAAAACAGGGCACGGCAUGAAGCAUUGUGUCAUUCAUAGGCAAAGAUUUUCACAUACACCUUUUGGUUAAAGAAAUGCAAGUUUCAUACACUAAUAAUGAUAAUGGAAAUGUUGAAGCUUGUAAUUUGGAAUUAUCUUUGGUAUCAUGUAACUUACACAAAUCAUAAUAGAAAAUAGCUGGGCUCUUCACACCUUUUAGCUAUGUAGAAUAUGGUCAUCUACAUCCAGUAUUAUGUAUCUUUUAUCAAUAAAUUAGCAUCUUAAAAUGGUUUAAAACACA
Molecule: long non-coding RNA, 951 nt
Organism: Apus apus (common swift)
Lineage: Eukaryota; Metazoa; Chordata; Aves; Apodiformes; Apodidae
Exons: 2
Source: RefSeq, a predicted model, not a curated record